Mus musculus (house mouse) is the source of this 1442-nucleotide long non-coding RNA. RefSeq annotates it as predicted gene, 38985. The record is from RefSeq and is a predicted model, not a curated record. The transcript is spliced from 3 exons. NCBI's taxonomy places the organism in Eukaryota, Metazoa, Chordata, Mammalia, Rodentia, Muridae.
GGGAUGGUGGCAGAGCGCUGACAGUGACCAGGGGAACGGCCUCUCGUCCUGACCAUAGUGCACUUUGCCACAGCAGCAGCUGCAGGGCUAGGAGCAAACAGACGGGUCUGAGGCACUUGUUAUCCGGCCUCUCUCCAUUCCACACCCAGGGCAGCCACACCCAGGCCUGAAUCGCUGCAGGGUGUUGGAUCUGGAUCCGAGUUGUCCAACAAGGCUGGUGAAACCCUGGAGGGGAUAGCAAGGAACUCAGACCCUGGGGAAGAAUGGGUGCUCAGAUCAAGACUGCUUCUGUCUCUCCAUCCUCUGGCAGACGUGCUUGGGGAGCCCCCUCUGCCCUUCAUUUGUGAUUCUCAAGUCACCUAUACCUGGGACAAACAUCCCGAGAGAAGAAAGAACCUGUCCUCUUUUCAGACCCAUAAGCUUCCUGGUGGCUGCCUCCUGCUUUUCUGGGAGCCCUCCACAGCACCCUAGGUAGGGUCUUGCUGUCUACGCCUGCCCCACAUUUGGAUAAAAAUAAAUUGGUCCAGCAUUCAGGCCGUUCUGUCCCAGGCUGAUUAGCUGGGAACUCCCCAAUACCCCCCAUUAUGACUCAUUUCUUUAAGCCCCUGGAUCCUGGCAGAGAGGCCAGAGGAAACCGGAUGUCUGUCUUGAAUGAAUCAAGACCCUCUGGGGCUCCUGGCUCACCUGACCUUGCCUUUCUGCUUCCCUUGGCACAUUACCUCGAUGUCGUGGAGUCUGGGGCAUCUGGAGGGCGUCGGAGGCUGGGUCAUGGAGUGUCCCGACGAUCUCUGCUCAUUAUGUAGCAGUGGUGUGAGCUGGCUUGAGUCGAUGCAUGCUGAGGCUCGGGACUGAACCCAGGACCUCUGGCAUGGUAAACAGGCACUCUACAUCCCUGGCUUAAUAAAAAAAAAAAUACAUGUCUAUUAAUGUUUUCCUUCUAUACAUACAUGUGCAUGUGUUCUGUGUCGGGGAGGGCAUUGGAUCCCUUGGGAUCGUCCUUGUGCAUGGUGCUGAGCCAGGUCCUCUGCAAGAGCAACACGCUCUGCUCUCUUAACCGCUGAGCCAUCUUCCUCGCCUUCUCUGUGGUCUUUAAGUGAGCACCUUUUCUGUUUCACGUUAUACAAUCUGAGCCUGUGGUGCAGCUGCAUGUACAGCAAGCAGGGCGGCCAACGGCUUCCUCUCCUGCCCAGUAUCCAGGGUCAUGCCCUGGUAAUGCCCGCUAAGUACCACAGGCUCAUGGUUACCACCCGAUCCAAGUGAACCCCCUCUUGGUUCGGUGAGUUUCGGACUUCGGUCCAGACGGUUGAGUGCUUUGCUGUGAUGCUCUGAUUCUCCCUCUUCUUGAAUCUGUGAGCCAUCUUUUUUGGUCAACCUCCUUGCUAUCUUAAAUUUUAAGGAAGGCCAGACUGGUCUGUGUGGUGAGUUCCCAGCUAGCCAUGCAC